RNAcentral lists this signal recognition particle RNA (265 nucleotides) under Candidatus Acetothermia bacterium. RNAcentral describes it as "signal recognition particle sRNA large type". It matches the Rfam family "Bacterial large signal recognition particle RNA". Rfam says of the family: The signal recognition particle (SRP) is a universally conserved ribonucleoprotein involved in the co-translational targeting of proteins to membranes. Lineage: Bacteria; Candidatus Bipolaricaulota. The record is from RNAcentral.
CCGUGCACGGCGGGGGGUUAGCGGUCCCCUGCACCCAAAACCCGCUAUACGUGGGGCCGAUGGGCCUCCCGAGAGGUCCGGAGGCGGAAGCGAGCCGGGUGCGGAGGCGUUGAUGGCCGAGCCCCCUACGACACAUGCCGGCGAACCCCGCCAGGCCCGGAAGGGAGCAACGGUAAGCCGGCCUCUGUGGGUGAUAGGGGAUCACUUGGUCUGAGCCGAAGGCCCGGAAGCGCCCGUUGAAGGACCCCGACGGAGGUCCGCACGG